UAGGGAAUAUUAGUAAUGGGCGAAAGCCUGAACUAGCAACGCCGCGUGUGCGAAGAAGGCCUUCGGGUUGUAAAGCACUCUUUGAGAGGAUGAGGAAGGACGGUACUCUCAGAAUAAGUCUCGGCUAACUACGUGCCAGCAGCCGCGGUAACACGUAGGAGGCGAACGUUAUCCGGAUUUACUGGGCGUAAAGCGCGUGUAGGUGGUUUGGUAAGUAGGGCGUGAAAGCUCCUGGCUCAACUGGGAGAGGCCGUUCUAAACUGCCGAACUAGAGGAUGGUAGAGGGAGAUGGAAUUCCGGGUGUAGCGGUGGAAUGCGCAGAUAUCCGGAGGAACACCAGUGGCGAAAGCGGCCUCCUGGACCACUCCUGACACUCAGACGCGAAAGCUAGGGUAGCAAACGG
RNAcentral lists this ribosomal RNA (403 nucleotides) under uncultured bacterium. RNAcentral's name for it is "bacterial SSU rRNA". It matches the Rfam family "Bacterial small subunit ribosomal RNA", at positions 355 to 775 of the family's 1533-position model. The record is from RNAcentral.